GUCGAUGACUGUCGCCCUCUUGUGGAGACAUUUGAAUGUGCUUUAGCACGCUGAACUGCAGACGAAGCUGCUGCAGGCUCAUGGCUUCCCUCCAAACAACGUAACAGCUGAAGAUGUUUUUUCAGCUUUACAUCUACAGAUCCAGUUGGAGAUGAAUCAGUUGGACUGGUGCUGAACUGAUUAUGUGUAUUCAAAGGAAGGCUGAGGCUGAUGUUGUAAUGAUUGCCACAAUGCCUCAGGAUUGUGGAUCUUUUGGAACGUAAUAUGGGUUGAAAACACCUCUGUCCUUAGAGGUUUCUAUCUUUUAGAUCAUAAGCCAAGACCCAGACCAGGACACUGCUGUAAGUAAUGAGACCCCAAGGCAGAUGAAGGCCAGGUUAAUGUAGUUUGAAGAGGUCCCAGGACCGCGACCGCUGGUUAGGACUCCAGCUCUGCCAUAUGAUUAUUUUAAGAGCUUCACCAGGUGUUCAGUACCUGCAGGCAGAGCCGUUCACAAGGGGGAAACCAGGGGUCAGAGUUUGACUGGUUAGCAUGGCCCGGUUAGCUUCUGCUAGCAGAUGUCGUAGCUGCACCAUCUGGCAACAAAAACAUCUUUCUUCAUUUACACUGACAGCCAUUCAGAAGAAGCCAUGUGUUCUGGUGGAAUACACUUUUGUGUGUGCAACUUAUGAAUUGCAAAUGUAACAUUAUAUUAAAGUAGAUUUUUUAAAAUGUUUUAUGCAGUCCAAAAUAUUUUUCAAAGAUAUGCAAAAUAUAAACACCAUGACCUGAGGAAAUAUAUUUUUAAAUUGACUUGUUUAAACCUUCAAAUGUACUUAUUUAUUACAAAAUGCAGG
Molecule: long non-coding RNA, 836 nt
Organism: Cyprinus carpio carpio
Lineage: Eukaryota; Metazoa; Chordata; Actinopteri; Cypriniformes; Cyprinidae
Source: Ensembl